This 5204-nucleotide long non-coding RNA is filed under the name Vigna radiata. Its description in RNAcentral is "long non-coding RNA (VRAD_LNC009075)". Lineage: Eukaryota; Viridiplantae; Streptophyta; Magnoliopsida; Fabales; Fabaceae. The record is from RNAcentral.
GAGUUGCUAUGAGAGUUUGUAAAUGAGUGGAAUUUACUUUUCUAUGCAAUCGCUUUCAUUUUCAUUGAUUAAAAUGUUCAACACUCAACUUUGCUUUUGCACUUACGUUCUGCACCUCUAAUUUAAUUUGUGUUUCUGGUUUCCAUCUUUUAAGUUCAUUCAGUUUAGAUUGAAUAGAGAAAGGUUUCUCAUUGAAAUUCUCAAUAUAUAUACUUGUGUGAUGGUCAGUUUUGUUUUGGUGUGAGAUGCAUGCUUAUAUGCCAUUAUGGAAGCUGUGAAAGUAGGGUACAUUACUUUAGUAUUGUCUUUACUUGGACAUGACCUUUCUCUGUUAUUUUCUCACCUGAUGAAUAACUUUUGGUAAAGGAUGCNUUUGGUUCAGUGAAACUUUGUUUACGAAUAUGAAUUAUUAUGAGAGCCUCACAUUAAUUAAUUUUCAUGGAGUAUGUAUUUAAAUAAUUAACUAUUAUUUCACCCUAAUAUAUUCUUUCAGUGAUUGCUAUAGAUGAUUAUUUAUCUUGUAAAUAUGAUAUUCACUGAUUGCUACUGCACUUUUUUUUAAUGUUGUCGUGGGUAUAAUUGGGUUGCAUUUCCAUCUUUUAGGCCCCAAGAGGGUGAAGUUAUUUUCUAACAAGGAGAAUAUGGGAUUUAGGAAUAGUGUUUUUUUGGCAAAUCUCUGUGUCUCGGCACUUUUGUCACGGGAUUCAAUUAGUUGUUGAAUCCUUUCUAUCAGGUUCGAUUACUCAUCCUUUCUCAUCUANAACUUUUAGUUUCUUCUACUAUUAGUGUAGAACUAUUAAAUUCAUUACUAAUUGUAUUAUUAUCUUCUUCCCCUAAUUUUGUUUCUCAUCAUUGAUUUCUCUAAAACCUCAGACAUGGCAAUAAUGAUAUUGAGGUUUCUAUUAAGCUUUAUUGAUUUGAUGAUCUCAAUUUUUGCGGAUGGACAUGACAAUAGGUUUGCUUAUGUUACUUUUACCUUUGUGAAACAUGAGAAGGAUCAAUAAGGUAUGCUUAGAUAUGCAUAAACAAGUCAAUUUUCUUCAAUGUGAUAUAUGAUUGCAGGCUAUAUAUAGGGAGAAUAUCAAAUAAAAGUAACUACAAGUGCCCUGGCCUUGUUGCUAACCAGCAGGUACAACGAAUUAGGAAAAAUACNUGUCCAAGCCAUCUAAUUAAGGUAUUACUAUUAUAUAAUUUAUUUCUUUGUUCCCUUUUUUCUUCAACCUGGGGUGGGAGUACUUUUGUUGAUUUCCCAAGCUUAUUGCCUCGUGAAGUCUGGUGAGGGACCAGAAGAUCAAAAGCUAAAUCAACUCUGAAUCAAUGGUAAUAUUACCACUUCCCACCAAGGUAAUUCUUUUCAUUAUACAUAGUUGUUUGAACAUGUUAUGUUGACAUCCAAUUAUAUUACUAAUUGACUGGAGAGAAUAAUGAACCAAAGUUUUAUUGAUCAAUAUUUUGUGAGUUAUAUUUGUUGUGAGUUUUAGAGUUUAAAGUGUUAUCUUUGAUGAAUGGUAUGAUCCAGAAAGCUUUGAAAAGCCAUUCCUUGUAUGCAUAUCUGAAUUUUAUGCUGCUGAAGGUGUGAAAUACAUGCAUCAAUCAGAUGCUCCAGAUUAUUUGAAGCAUGUGGAGGUGUUUUCUUUUUCAUAGUCCGUUGUAUUAUUUUAUUGGCUUUAGUUUUUUACUAAAUUGUUUAAUAAAUGGAUUNUGUCAUUCAAUAUCAGAGUUUGAUCUUAUAAAAGUUAUCUUUCUUUUUCAAUUCUUCCCUUGCNCAUAUUGUGUACUUAUUGCAGGGAUGUUUGUGGGUGCUUCUUCUGCAGAUAUGAUUGCAAGAAGAACAUGAAAGAUGUUUGAUUUUCCAGAUAAGACUGUCCACAUUAGUCCAAGUCUUUCUUCAGCACUUAGCAAGUUUUAGUGGAUACGACCCUCACCGGGAUCGUGCCAGUCUCGGGUAUAUAUUAUCANGCUUCCCAUUGAAAUUGUUUGGCACCCUUGCUUUUCCAAAGGAGAGGUAAUAUAGAAACAAUUUAUUUUCUGAGUGAUACUUUUCAGUGAUGGUAGUGAAGUAUUUUUGGCUGGUGCAUGAUUCGAUUGAUUUUAUAUCCCUCUUGUAGGUGUUGUUGUGUUAGUUUUCAUUUAAUAAAUAUCCCAAGACAGAAAGCCCCAGCCAAUCUUCUGGAAAUAUCUCAACCUAAUAUAGGCAUGAAUAAGAACUGUUACUGCUGUAUGAUUAUGUGUAAGUGACUGGCAAUCCUAUUUGCAUAAACAUAAUGUCUGCAAAAGAUGGUUGAGUUAUUGUUUUUAUAAAUUAUUUAAAUCUAAUUUGUUGUUUUGUUCAAACUUCCCAGUUUGUACUAUAAAGAAUCUUCUGAAUGUUGAUCGGGUGAUGUGCCUGAGGGUAAAAUCCUCAAACAACGGCCUAUCCUGAUUGCAGCGUCAAUGCGGAGCUAUGGAGCUUAUUUAGCUUACAGUCAGAGUACAGGUGAAAUGAUUAAGAUUUAUUCUUUAGCAUUGGUCGUGGUUUGUUUUCUUGUAGUGUUGUGGGCAUUUUAUCUUAUCUNUUAUAGCCCAUGUAUUGACUAACAAUCAAGAUCAUAUACUUUAUGGUUAUUNUAUGUUGUGUUUCCAAGCUCAAAUGUUUAGCUUUGUAAUACAUGCAUAUUCAUCUAUGUAUUCAACUAAUCUGUGUUAUUUUUAAAUAUUAGAAAGUAGUUCAUGACUAAUUGUUUGUAAAUCAUACCUAAAAGACAGGAAUCUGAUUUUAAAGUUGCUUGGCAUUUGUUUCUACAACUUUUAUUCUCAUAAUUUAAUAAAAGUUGUUGGCAGAUUGUUUUUCUAUAAGAUUCUAAAGUCCCCCCUUUGGGCCACUCAUGUGCAUCAUACCAUUCAUCCAUACUAUGUCACAAAUGUCACAUGUCAUGUGCAUUACAUGCAUACAUGAGUUCAAUGUUGAACAGAGGUUUGAUUUGAUAUACUUGUUUAGGAAUUUUGUUGAGAUUUGGUUUGAUAUACUUGUUUAGGAAUUUUGUUGAGAUUUGGUUUGAUAUACUUGUUUAGGAAUUUUGUUGAAAUGCCAUCAAUGAAUUGGAGAGAGUGGCUGACAACUGGUUUGGGGCGUGUUGUUACUCUUUUAGAGGAGUAAGUGAGAAGAUGGUGAUGAGGUAUGUCAGUUCAUAUACAUGCAUGCUGGGGGUCUAUCUAUUAACUUCUGCUUCUAUCACUAUUUGCAAGGAUAAUAUUGUGGAAUAUAAUUUUCCAGAAGGGUGUGGAAAGCAAAAAUGUACUUAUGUAGCAGAAAACCCGAGAGAUGAUGGUAUUCAACCCUAAAAUACUCUAAAAUGACACACAUCUAGAAUCCUCUACCAGGGUGGUUGAGUUUGUUUAUGUUACUGUUAGAAUAUAAAGAAUCAAGAGACUAAUACUACAUUACUAGUAUAAAAGUAAGGGUGAUUACUCUCUACUUUUGAAAUUUGUUUGCUUCUUUAUUAGGCUCAUCACCUUAAUUUGAUGCAUUUGUAAAACCAAUAAUAUAUAGUGAUCAGUAGUUAUUGUCCAUUGGCAUGCUAUAUCAGCUUGAGUGUUUUCUAUUUACCUUUCUAUUAUUGGUUUGCAGGAUCUUGUGGAACUGUGUAUCAUGUGUGCUAAUCCUAUUAAACAUUAUUAUUAAAGUGACAAUUUGCUCCUCUAAUAAAUACUAAUUUGAUUCUGAUGUUAAUAACUUUAACUACUUUAUAAAUUUUUGCUAUUUUUNUUAUUAUAUCACGCAUUACUAUAUUAUAAAAUUGUGACUUAUAAAUACUUAAUUUGAAAAUUUAUUUUCUCUUAUGGUGUGACAGGAUAUAAUUCAUCACUACAAAAAAAUAAAUAAUAAUUUAUACUAAUAGUCAUUCAAGACAUGAAUUACAUACUAGAUAGUAAUUGCUAGUUUCUAAACCAUUUUCAUUGUUUGUUUUAAAGUAUAACCUUUUUCUAUUUCUAAAAAAACAUUAUAUAUACCAGAUAAUUAUAUAUGUGUUUUUCUUAUACAUAUGUUUCAGAAUUUAUUUCUUUGAAAUGACAUGCUUAGAAAAUAAUUAACAAAGAUAAUAACAACUUUGGCUUGAAUUUAUUUCUUUGAAAUGACAUGCUUAGAAAAUAAUUAACAAAGAUAAUAACAACUUUGGCUNUAAUUAACAAAGAUAAUAACAACUUUGGCUUGAAUUUAUUUCUUUGAAAUGACAUGCUUAGAAAAUAAUUAACAAAGAUAAUAACAACUUUGGCUACUUACAUCAUUCUUUUAGUUCAGGGACUGUUUAGGAUGUGACAAUUCUGUUAUUAAUGAAUGACGAAAAAACCUUAUAUUUUACUGCAUUAUUAAGGUCCAAUAGAACAUAUAAAGAUAGNAAAACAAAAAAACAAAAAUAAAAAAGAGGUUAGACAAGAGAUGAGGAACAUGGAAAGAUCGUUAUAGGGUAUAAUUGGGCAUGAUCUUCAUGUGAUAUUGAUAUUUGNAGCAAGAACUAUUUCUUAUUUCUUUCCUUCAUCUAAUCUAUAAAUUAUAUUAUUGGUAUCACCGCAAGAAUUUUUUUUAUAUUUUGUAGUGCUUCCCUAGCUUGCAUUGUGUUCAAUAUUGAUUAAAUUGACCCUUGAAGUUGGCCUUGUGUUGCUGUUACAAUAACCCUGAACCUNUUGAGCAUAAUUAGAAGUAUUGGAUGUUGUCAUGUGGGUAUAUAUGAGGGGUUAGUUUGCUUAUGUUUGUGUUAUUUUUCUUCANUAUUUGAAUGUGAAUAGGAAUUUAUGUUUUAUAUUGUGGGUUGGUUGUCGUGGUUGACAAUUAAAUGUGAAGUAGGUGGUAUUUUGGUAUGAAUAUCUUAGUUGUAAUUAAAUUGAUACUGUUUUAUGAUCUCUUAUCAUUGUGCUAACACAGGGAAGAGAAAAUAGCAAAGAAAANGAGUUUUCAUGAGAGUUUUAGUGUGCAUCCGAGAGGCUGACAAUGCAAGGCAAAUGUGAGGCUUAAAGAAACAAGGAAGGGAUUAGGAAACUUAAGAGAAUCAUAGAACUUUGGCACUUUGUAUAAAUAUAUAUUACAUUUUUAACUAUACACUUUUAUUAUGUUAGUUAUUUGAAGUCAUUUUUGUAUAUAUAUAGAUUGUGUAUUUAUUAUUGUUGUUUUAAUAAAAACUCAUAGAUAUUUGGUACUAUUUUUUUGCAAUUUCACAAUUGUGUGACUC